CUCUUGUUAAUUGCAGAGUAAUACUUGAUUUUACUGUAGUCUAUAUGAUUACGGCGUAAUAAAGCAAUUUAUUACAAAGGAAUAGCUUUUUGAGAAGAAGGUUAAUUGAGAAUUGAUGAAACUUAAAUGUUUUUACAAGUAACUGUUUUAAAUAUCUGACCUAUCAACUUGAAGGUAGAUAGAGGCAUACCCAAGUGAUAACGGGUAACGAGAAAUAAGGGUUUGAUUUCGGAGAGGGAGCUUUAAAAAUGGCUACCACUUCUAAGGAAGGCAGCAGGCGCGCAAAUUACCCACUUUUAAUUUAGAGAGGUAGUGACGAUAAUU
RNAcentral lists this ribosomal RNA (324 nucleotides) under Entamoeba polecki. RNAcentral describes it as "SSU rRNA". It matches the Rfam family "Eukaryotic small subunit ribosomal RNA", at positions 146 to 473 of the family's 1831-position model. Lineage: Eukaryota; Evosea; Mastigamoebida; Endamoebidae. The record is from RNAcentral.